GGGAAUUUUGCGCAAUGGGGGAAACCCUGACGCAGCAACGCCGCGUGGAGGAUGAAAUCCCUUGGGAUGUAAACUCCUUUCGAUAGGGAAGAUAAUGACGGUACCUAUAGAAGAAGCCCCGGCUAACUUCGUGCCAGCAGCCGCGGUAAUACGAGGGGGGCAAGCGUUGUUCGGAAUUAUUGGGCGUAAAGGGUGCGUAGGCGGUUUGACAAGUCUCAUGUGAAAUCUUCGGGCUCAACUCGAAGUCUGCAUGGGAAACUGUCGGGCUUGAGUAUGGGAGAGGUGAGUGGAAUUUCCGGUGUAGCGGUGAAAUGCGUAGAUAUCGGAAGGAACACCUGUGGCGAAAGCGGCUCACUGGACCAUAACUGACGCUGAGGCACGAAAGCUAGGGGAGCAAAC
This 399-nucleotide ribosomal RNA is filed under the name uncultured bacterium. RNAcentral describes it as "bacterial SSU rRNA". It matches the Rfam family "Bacterial small subunit ribosomal RNA", at positions 357 to 773 of the family's 1533-position model. The record is from RNAcentral.